AUUAUAUUUCUAUUCAUUUAUUACAUACAAACAUUAUCUAUGAAGUUAAACAGCUAGCACAGACUUCAGUUUCUAGACACUUUUAUUGGUGUCCUACACCCACAACAACAAAUAUUGACAAAUUCAAUUAAAAAUACAUGAAUAAACAUAAUAAACAUUCUCUAACAUAGAAACAAAACAUUCUCUAUAAAUUCAUGAUAAACAUUUUGUUUGUUUUGUAAGUUCCAUUCAGUUAUAGGUUCAUUUCCUGUUAUAAGCACCUGGUUCAAACCUACAGCAGGGUGACAGGGGAGGGAAGCUGGCAGAGUUCAAACUCAAAACCAUUGUGACAACAAUUUGAAGUGUAUUCUGCAAUAUACUUAGACACAGUACAGUCAUCAGUACACUAAUUUAUAAAAAAAAAGAUUAAUAUUCAUAAAAUAUUUGUGUAUGUUUGUCAUAAACCUUUUCAUGCUCUGACGUAACUUGAGUUUGAAUCCCAAUGUAGAGUAAGAAUUUUUAAAUUUAAGAUUAGACUUGAGCUGAAUUGUGUUUGUGGAAUGUCUUUAUUGAAAGAAGCAGGGAAAACUACUCUUAGAUACCUAUUCUACUACAUAUCCACAAAAGAAAUUGGACGAAAGCACUCUGAGCAGGCUAUACAAUAGCAAUAAUAAUUUUAAAAAAAAAUAUUCUAUUGUAAAAAAAAAAUAAAAAUGGAUCCACAAUGAACUGCAAUGUUUGUAUGUGAGCAGUAAAAAAACAUCCAUAUAUUUGUAUGAAAUAAAUACAAUGCUAAAAUUUUAUGUGGCAAGUAAGACAUUGGAAAUCUUCUUGAAAACGUUGACUGAGGGAGGAGAGAUAAUUGAUACAUGCAGUCAGAAAGUUUAUUAUAGACAGUAACAUGUUACACCGAGGUACUAAAGUAUAAGCUAAGUGAUAUCACAAAUAGCAGUUAACAUAGGAUGUUACUGAAGGAUGUUACAAUAGGAUGUUACUAAAGGAUGUUACCAUAGGAUGAAAGUAAUUUUGCAUUUUUAAAAUUCAAAUAAAAUCAUUUAGCUUCAAAUAACCAAAUACAAAAUGAGAACAUGCCUAAAAACUAAAACAAACAAACAAACAAGAGAAAAAAAAAACAGUCACAAAUGGUGCAAAACAUCUGUAUACAGCAUGUGGGCUGAUAGGUAAACACUUUUUCCCAACCAAGGUGUCUUGAAUCCCAGUGAGGACCAGAGUUUGAACUUUGGGAAAUUUAGGAUGCCCCCCCCCCCC
Molecule: non-coding RNA, 1248 nt
Organism: Biomphalaria pfeifferi
Lineage: Eukaryota; Metazoa; Mollusca; Gastropoda; Planorbidae
Source: the annotation of a GenBank genome assembly